Small nuclear RNA from Rana temporaria (common frog), 191 nucleotides. RefSeq annotates it as U2 spliceosomal RNA. NCBI's taxonomy places the organism in Eukaryota, Metazoa, Chordata, Amphibia, Anura, Ranidae. The record is from RefSeq and is a predicted model, not a curated record. The transcript has a single exon.
AUCGCUUCUUGGCCUUUUGGCUAAGAUCAAGUGUAGUAUCUGUUCUUAUCAGUUGCCAGAGAAGGCUCCAAUGCUACUCCCAAACUUAGGGAGGGCGGAGUCAAAUCCAAUGGUGUCAUUGCACCCGGAAGGGCGGUUUCGGUAGGGAUUCAUGCCUGUUGCACCCUAACAGACGUUGGGGGCCAGCCAUG